This 70-nucleotide transfer RNA is filed under the name Marmota monax (woodchuck). RNAcentral's name for it is "tRNA.Ala". The stretch from base 5 to 65 matches the Rfam family "tRNA", at positions 6 to 65 of the family's 71-position model. From Rfam's summary of the family: Transfer RNA (tRNA) molecules are approximately 80 nucleotides in length. The record is from RNAcentral. Lineage: Eukaryota; Metazoa; Chordata; Mammalia; Rodentia; Sciuridae.
GGGCUGGGGCUCAGCGGUAGAGCACUCGCCUCGCACGUGAGAGGCUCUGGGUUCCAUCCUCAGCACCACA